AUGGGUACUGCUCUGUGCCUGGCACUGGCGGUGCUGCUACUGCUGCUCGCUAAUGAUCCGGUGUUGGUGGCCGCGGACGACGGCGUCGACGAACAGCUGCUGGAGCGGUUCAAGGCGGCGGUACGGAACCGUGGGGAGCUGGGGGGAUGGACCCGUGGCGACGGCGCGUGCAGUUUCCCUGGUGCCGCGUGCGUCAGGGGAGGGAAGAGGCUCGUGUCGCUCUCCCUCUCGGGGGUCCCACUCGACGUCGACUUCCGCGCCGUCGCGGGCACACUGCUGCAGCUGGGUGGUGUCGAGGUCGUCAGCCUGCGAGGCGCCAACAUGAGCGGCUCCCUCGCAAGCGGCGGGGUCGCCGUGGUCUGGCGGUGCGGCCAGAAGCUGGCUCAGCUGGACCUGUCCGGCAACAGGGCACUAAGAGGAUCCGUAGCUGACGCCCGCGUGCUCGCCGGCGCGUGCGACGGGCUGAGGGAGUUGAACCUUUCUGGUAACGCACUCGUUGGCGGUGGCGGCGGGAAGGGAGAUGGCGGGGACAUUUUUGCCCGCCUGGAUGUCCUUGACCUCUCGGACAACAACAUCACCGGCGACGGCGAUCUCAGCUGGAUGGGGGGAGUCCGUCGGCUGAACCUCGCCUGGAACUCGAUCUCCGGGCCACUCCAGGUCCCGGCAUUCACCAACUGUUCCAGGAUGGAGUCACUUGAUCUAUCCGGAAAUUUAAUCUCCGGCGAGGUGCUGCCCGGGGCCCUGUCCGGCUGCACUGCUCUUGUUUCGCUCAACCUCUCCAGCAACCACUUAAAGGGCGCUUUUCCGCCAGACACACGCUGCUUGCGUCGCUCCCCACGGCUCUCGUGGCUCACUCUAUCACUCAACCACUUCCAUGGCUCCAUGCCCGACUCUCUAGGUCGGCUUGCCAAUCUGAGGAUGUUGGACUUCAGCUCGAACGAGCUCUCCGGCGCUAUACCAUCCUCACUCUGCCCGAACACCGGCUCCAAGCUAGUCCAAGCUCGAGACCUCAGUCUCAACUACAUCAAUGGCUCCAUCCCCACAUCCGUCGGCAGCCUUGCUCGUCUCCGUGACCUCAUCCUGUGGGAGAACAAAUUGGAGGGCGAGAUUCCGGUGUCGCUCGGUGGUGCUCGCGGACUCGAGCACCUCAUCCUCGAGUACAACACGCUCACUGGCAGCAUCCCGUCGGAAUUGAUGAACUGCAAGAAUCUGAAAUGGAUAGCGCUGGGGAGCAACCGGCUCUCUGGGUCGGUGCCGGCUUGGCUGGGGCGGCUAGACAACCUUGCAAUCUUGAAGCUCAACAACAACUCCUUCUCAGGGCCUAAGCGGAUCGAUACCACCGGAGCUGGCGAGGCAGUCCGGGAAGGUGGCUAUCGGCUUCAUGAUAGCGCGGCCACAUAUAUAUACUUGCGCAACGACGAGCAGAGCAGCAAAUGUCGCGGCGCGGGGAGCUUGCUUGAGAUCGGCGGCGUCCGUUUGGAGCAACUAAACCAGAUGGCUAGCAAGAAUACGUGCAACUUCACACGGGUAUACAUCCUGGAUAGCGGAGAGCACACUUUGAAAAGCAAUGCCUCCAUGAUAUUCUUGGACCUGUCCUUUAACAAGCUUGACUCCGAGAUCCCCAAGGAACUUGGUAAGAUGAACUAUGUAGCAAUCAUGAAUCUUCGGCAAAAUCGACUUUCUGGUGCCAUCCCAGCAGAGCUUGCAGUCGACAACGGCAAGACCAAAUCUUCCAAUGACCUGACAGCUCCAGCAAGCCAUCAGUUAGUCUCACACCUAGAGCUUGUUCGUGCCACUGGUAAUUUCAGUGAAGAUUACAUGUUGGGAUAUGGAGGCCACGGAAAGGUAUUCAAGGGACAACUGAGCGAUGGUUUGAUGGUUGCAAUAAAGGUUUUUGACAUGCGGUCCACGUGUGCCAUUAGAAGCUUUGAGGCCAAGUGCCAUGUGCUCCGCAUGGCGUGGCAUCGCAACCUGAUACGGAUAAUCACCACAUGUUCUAACAUGAAUUUCAGAGCGUUGGUGCUACAAUACAUGCCAAAUGGCAAUUUAGAGACAUUGCUUCACUGCUCACAACAGGGCGAAACACAAUUCGGGUUCCGCGAGAGACUGUGUGUUAUGCUUGAGGUGUCAAUGGCAAUGGAAUAUCUACACCAUGGUUACCAUGAAAUCGUCUUGCACUGCGACUUGAAGCCAAGCAAUGUGUUAUUUGACGAGGACAUGAUGGCGCAUGUGGCAGAUUUUGGCAUUGCAAGACUACUACAAGCUGAUGGUAACUCUGCGUUCUCCAUUAACAUGCAUGACACUAUUGGGUACAUGUCACCAGAGUAUGGGUCAUACGGGAAAGCUUCACGAAAGAGCGAUGUGUUCAGCUACGGCAUCAUGCUCCUUGAAGUCUUUACUGGGAAGAGGCCAACGGAUGCUAUGUUUGUUGGAGAACCGAGCCUUAGACGAUGGGUUAAUCAAUUGUUUCAGGCAGGUCAACUUGUUCAUGUCAUGGAUAGACGGCUACUGCAAUGCUUUGGCAUGGACAUUAGCUUUCUUGUGCCAAUACUAGAGGUUGGUUUGCUUUGCUCCAGUGACUCACCUGGAGAUAGGAUAACUAUGAGCGAGGUAGUUUUAAAGAUGAAGAACGUCAAAACAGAGUACAUCAAAUAUAUAUCGUCUACAUUAGGAAAUGUUUCACAAUGA
RNAcentral lists this ribosomal RNA (2688 nucleotides) under Triticum aestivum (bread wheat). Its description in RNAcentral is "partial small subunit ribosomal RNA". The record is from RNAcentral. Lineage: Eukaryota; Viridiplantae; Streptophyta; Magnoliopsida; Poales; Poaceae.